AAUCAAUCAAAAAUGAGCGUCAUAAAUCAUUGUCAUAUAGUUUUUAUAAUCGUCUGCAUAUUGUCAAUUUCGAGUAUCGUGCAUACCCAAGGGAAAGAAAAAAAUAUUUCAGAUAGAAGUGCUAGUGUUCCUAACGUUAUCAAAGCUACCUACACAUUGGAAACGAAAAUGCCAUUAGAAGGAGAAAAUAUUGCAGCUGUAAAAAUUAUUCCAAAAGCUCCAAAUUAUUGUUUCUUUUUUAAGUAUUGUUUGCAAAUGUUUUGUGAAUGUAAAAAUAUAUAUAUUCCUAACUGAGUUUCAUAUUCUUACUUGGUAAUACUGAG
Long non-coding RNA from Zophobas morio, 323 nucleotides. RefSeq lists it as uncharacterized. The transcript is spliced from 3 exons. NCBI's taxonomy places the organism in Eukaryota, Metazoa, Arthropoda, Insecta, Coleoptera, Tenebrionidae. The record is from RefSeq and is a predicted model, not a curated record.